RNAcentral lists this ribosomal RNA (796 nucleotides) under uncultured bacterium. Its description in RNAcentral is "bacterial SSU rRNA". It matches the Rfam family "Bacterial small subunit ribosomal RNA", at positions 8 to 796 of the family's 1533-position model. The record is from RNAcentral.
AGAGUUUGAUCCUGGCUCAGGAUGAACGCUAGCGGCAGGCUUAAUACAUGCAAGUCGUGGGGCAGCAGCUCUGUAGCAAUACAGAGGCUGGCGACCGGCAAACGGGUGCGGAACACGUACGCAAUCUACCCAAAACUGGUGAAUAGCCCUCCGAAAGGAGGAUUAAUACACCGUAACCUAUAGAAGUGGCAUCACUUUAUUAGUAUAGCUCCGGCGGUUUUGGAUGAGCGUGCGGCUGAUUAGAUAGUUGGCGGGGUAACGGCCCACCAAGUCUGCGAUCAGUAACUGGUGUGAGAGCACGACCAGUCACACGGGCACUGAGACACGGGCCCGACUCCUACGGGAGGCAGCAGUAAGGAAUAUUGGUCAAUGGACGCAAGUCUGAACCAGCCAUGCCGCGUGAAGGAUGAAGGUCCUCUGGAUUGUAAACUUCUUUUAUAGGGGACGAAACCUCUUUUUCUAAAGAGACUGACGGUACCCUAGGAAUAAGCACCGGCUAACUCCGUGCCAGCAGCCGCGGUAAUACGGAGGGUGCAAGCGUUAUCCGGAUUCACUGGGUUUAAAGGGUGCGUAGGAGGGCAGGUAAGUCAGUGGUGAAAUCUCCAAGCUUAACUUGGAAACUGCCGUUGAUACUAUCUGUCUUGAAUACCGUGGAGGUGAGCGGAAUAUGUCAUGUAGCGGUGAAAUGCUUAGAUAUGACAUGGAACACCAAUUGCGAAGGCAGCUCACUACACGAAUAUUGACUCUGAGGCACGAAAGCGUGGGGAUCAAACAGGAUUAGAUACCCUGGUAGUCG